AGUGAACGCUGGCGGUAGGCCUAACACAUGCAAGUCGAACGGCAGCACAGUAAGAGCUUGCUCUUACGGGUGGCGAGUGGCGGACGGGUGAGGAAUACAUCGGAAUCUACUUUUUCGUGGGGGAUAACGUAGGGAAACUUACGCUAAUACCGCAUACGACCUACGGGUGAAAGCAGGGGAUCUUCGGACCUUGCGCGAUUGAAUGAGCCGAUGUCGGAUUAGCUAGUUGGCGGGGUAAAGGCCCACCAAGGCGACGAUCCGUAGCUGGUCUGAGAGGAUGAUCAGCCACACUGGAACUGAGACACGGUAGACUCCUACGGGAGGCAGCAGUGGGGAAUAUUGGACAAUGGGCGCAAGCCUGAUCCAGCCAUACCGCGUGGGUGAAGAAGGCCUUCGGGUUGUAAAGCCCUUUUGUUGGGAAAGAAAAGCAGCAGGUUAAUACCCCGCUGUUCUGACGGUACCCAAAGAAUAAGCACCGGCUAACUUCGUG
RNAcentral lists this ribosomal RNA (490 nucleotides) under uncultured bacterium. Its description in RNAcentral is "partial 16S ribosomal RNA". It matches the Rfam family "Bacterial small subunit ribosomal RNA", at positions 29 to 507 of the family's 1533-position model. The record is from RNAcentral.